CGGGGCCCGCCAACUCUCCUGGGUACAAAGUACAGCAGGGACGCAGGCGGAGCCUUUCCAAGCGGCGCAGCCAUAUCUUUCCCCACUGAACACCUAGAUGGAUUUCCAAUACCGCGCCUGGCACGUUCGGGAGGGAGCCUCAGGCUCCUUCCGAGCUCCCAGCCGCGCGUCCUCCUUUUUGCAGUCUAUAUUCGUCUGGGAGACGCAAGGGGCUCUGGGCACCACAAGCCUUAUUAAGAGAUUCGCAAUGGUUUACUCAGGCCCCUAAACCGCUCCCGCCUGCGAAGGGCAGCCUGCGGUGUUGUAACGCAGAAGCUCCUAACGCAAGGUUUUUGCGCUUCCUCCUCCUAACACCGCUCAGGGUCAGUUUCAGCGACUCUAAGAGUAUCUGCGUGGGCGCCUGUGCGGGGGUCCCGCCCAAAGAAAGGAGUUGGACCGCGCGAAGAACGUCACCGUGCUACCAGACCGCACAGGCACUUUGCACGGGCCAUCUACGCGUCGGUCUGGAAGUAGCGCGCCCUGGGUGCAGAUCAUGAACUCAUAAACGUCGCCAACUCUGCCUGACCCUCAGCCCGGCCAGCCGUUAUUUUUGUUUGAGCUGAGCCACAGUUACCGCCACGGGUUUCCCACGGGAUGAGUCCCCAGCUCGCCCUCAGCCCCGCCCUGCCGCGCCCCUCCGCUAGCCAGAGUCUGCCUGGCGCCCCUAGCGGAGUCUAGAGCAUCACCGCUCUGCGUUUGCGCAUCCCCGUUUGACGGGAAGUAGGACUGGAGAAUGAACUAGGCAGUAGGUCUUUUUCUUCUUUCAGGUGGGGUUGUGCCCUUGCCCGAACCCCUUCGCCACUCCCUCUCCACCCAGGGCGGAGCCAGGUGCUUAGUAAAAUCGGUCCGGCGCUUCGAACCCCGGGCAUUCUGUAGUCCCCAUCUAAACCCCACUUGGAGCCAAAAGGAACUGAGGACCAAGAGUUUUUUAGAAGAUUCCAGGGUUUGGCGGGGAAGGGAUUGUAACGGAAACCACCCUGUUUUCCGGCUCACAACCGGCGCUUUUGAUUUCAAAGACCAAGGGCUGGGCACUCCCAGGACACUGCUGGUCUGCCUUAGGCCGGGCGAGUCAGGGCGCAAUUUCUGCGGGGCCGCCUGGGAGUCGAGGCUGCUGCCGCUACACUAGGAUUUCUCCCUCACCUAAGCUUCUGGAGGUGCAGAUGUAAGAGCAACAACAGACUCGGUUCCUGCCCCGGUUUCUGUCGAAGACCAGGCACCGGGGCCAGGACCUCCGUGGCGCCUUCUGAGCCUUGGCCAAUCCCGACCGCGUUGCUGCCGCCCGCAGGCUAAAGAGUGCGGCCUGCCUGGCCCCUGAAGGUUGCUGCCUUUCAAGUGGUGCCUAAUAAGUUAUUUUCUUGAUUAACAUGUUUGUUUAUUUAUUUAUUUGUGGUAUUUGAAGAUGUGUCUCUGCUUUGCUUUUCUCUACUUGCCUAACCCAGGGCCUUUUCUUCAGGACACUGUGGGUGGGGAUGGAGGUGACAGUGGGGGGGAGGGAAGCUCUCUCCCCAAGGCCCACUCAAAACCCGUCUUCUUUGUUGGGCCCUCUUUUCUUUUUGCUUAUGUUCAGUGAAGUUUGGAGAUUCUUUUAUACUUUUCUUAUGUAGUCUCUUGUUUGUCUUAUAAUAAUCAUCAUGAUGAUAAAUAAAUAGGUAACGUGGCUUAGCCUCCUCCCAUGCAGAGUGGAAUGUCCUGAAUUCCUUCCAACAUCACCCUAUGUAUGACUUUAUUUCUGCUUUUUACAUAUUAUGAAUAUUUAUCUUGCUCCAUCGUCAUGAGUCCUCAAGACAAUUGCCAAAUACAGCCACUAGCAGUGAGAGAUGCAAGGCUGCAGGAGCACUUUCAGAUGCGGGCGUUCAAGCAGCACUCAGGUCUGGAGCUGAGAAAUCUGAUUCAGACAGAUUUUAAUCAGUGUUGAGAAUGUCCCUGGUUAGGCCCCUGCUUCUUCUAAGUUCCAGCAUAGGUGAUUCUAAUAUACGUUCUGGUUAACAUUGUCCCUUCUUUUUCACACACUGAAAGUAGAGUAAUUUGUGUCUGUGUUUAAUCUUACCAACUACAUUGGAAGCCUGAGCAGGGCAAGGACCAAUAAUUUUACUUCUUUGUAUUUCCUGUAUUGCUUUAGUAUGCUGGCAUGUACAUAGUAGGCACUAAAUACAUGUUUGUUGGCUGAUUGUUUAAGAAAGCCAGAGUGUAUUACAACCAUUGGGUGAUACUAAAUCUGGGGCUGUCAUGGACAUGAGACACAAUGGUUGAAAUCACUAUGGAAAAAGAUGUUUUGUGUAAUAUUUGCUUCAAGAACAUUGUGCUUUCCUGAAGGCAGUAACCAAGAGUUAAAAUGUCUCUAAUGUUUUGUUUAAACUAAUGAACAAACAUAUGCUUUUGGUUAUACAUCAUAAAGUUUAGCUCUGUCCCUUAAUAAUAUAUAUUAUUACUACUUUGGAAAAUAGAUUUUUAAUGGUUAAGAACAAUGAAAUUUACAAAGCUAAAUCUUGAUCAUUAUCCUCUUUAGAGGAUACAAAUCCAGUGCUCUUAACAUGUUACCAUCGUAAUAUUAAUGAAAUAAACAAAUGUAUUAUGUUGUUGCAAGUU
RNAcentral lists this long non-coding RNA (2625 nucleotides) under Lynx canadensis (Canada lynx). RNAcentral's name for it is "lncRNA (ENSLCNG00005006902.1)". The record is from RNAcentral. Lineage: Eukaryota; Metazoa; Chordata; Mammalia; Carnivora; Felidae.